ACGGGUGAGUAAUAUGUAGGAAAUCUGCCUUAGAGAGGGGGACAACAGAGGGAAACUUCUGCUAAUACCCCAUAUGAGCGUACCUGAAAUGGUAUUCUUGAAAACUCCGGUGCUCUAAGAUGAGCCUGCAUCUGAUUAGCUUGUUGGUGGGGUAAUGGCCUACCAAGGCGACGAUCAGUAGCUGGUUUGAGAGGAUGAUCAGCCACAAUGGGACUGAGACACGGCCCAUACUCCUACGGGAGGCAGCAGUAGGGAAUUUUGCGCAAUGGGCGAAAGCCUGACGCAGCAACGCCGCGCGAAUGUUAAGCCCUUCGGGGUGUAAAGUUCUGUCAGUGGGGACGAAAUUUGACGGUACCCACAGAGGAAGCACCGGCUAACUCCGUGCCAGCAGCCGCGGUAAUACGGAGGGUGCAAGCGUUGUCCGGAAUCAUUGGGCGUAAAGAGUUCGUAGGUGGUAUGUUAAGUCUGGUGUUAAAGCCCGAAGCUCAACUUCGGUUCGGCACUGGAUACUGGCAAACUUGAAUGUGGUAGAGGUAAAGGGAAUUCCUGGU
RNAcentral lists this ribosomal RNA (551 nucleotides) under uncultured bacterium. RNAcentral's name for it is "bacterial SSU rRNA". It matches the Rfam family "Bacterial small subunit ribosomal RNA", at positions 102 to 674 of the family's 1533-position model. The record is from RNAcentral.